RNAcentral lists this ribosomal RNA (253 nucleotides) under uncultured bacterium. Its description in RNAcentral is "partial 16S ribosomal RNA". It matches the Rfam family "Bacterial small subunit ribosomal RNA", at positions 524 to 776 of the family's 1533-position model. The record is from RNAcentral.
UACGUAGGGGGCUAGCGUUGUCCGGAAUCAUUGGGCGUAAAGCGCGUGUAGGCGGUCCGGUAAGUCCGCUGUGAAAGUCGGGGGCUCAACCCUCGGAUGCCGGUGGAUACUGUCGGGCUUGAGUACGGAAGAGGCGAGUGGAAUUCCUGGUGUAGCGGUGAAAUGCGCAGAUAUCAGGAGGAACACCAGUUGCGAAGGCAGCUCGCUGGGACGUUACUGACGCUGAGACGCGAAAGCGUGGGGAGCAAACAGG